AUUGAACGCUGGCGGCGGGCCUAACACAUGCAAGUCGAACGGUAACAGGAAGCAGCUUGCUGCUUCGCUGACGAGUGGCGGACGGGUGAGUAAUGUCUGGGAAGCUGCCUGAUGGAGGGGGAUAACUACUGGAAACGGUAGCUAAUACCGCAUAAUGUCGCAAGACCAAAGAGGGGGACCUUCGGGCCUCUCGCCAUCGGAUGUGCCCAGAUGGGAUUAGCUUGUUGGUGGGGUAACGGCUCACCAAGGCGACGAUCCCUAGCUGGUCUGAGAGGAUGACCAGCCACACUGGAACUGAGACACGGUCCAGACUCCUACGGGAGGCAGCAGUGGGGAAUAUUGCACAAUGGGCGCAAGCCUGAUGCAGCCAUGCCGCGUGUAUGAAGAAGGCCUUCGGGUUGUAAAGUACUUUCAGCGGGGAGGAAGGGAGUAAAGUUAAUACCUUUGCUCAUUGACGUUACCCGCAGAAGAAGCACCGGCUAACUCCGUG
Molecule: ribosomal RNA, 490 nt
Filed under: uncultured bacterium
Lineage: Bacteria
Description: partial 16S ribosomal RNA
Rfam family: Bacterial small subunit ribosomal RNA
Source: RNAcentral